CUCUCCAUAUCAAUGUUGCAGUUAGUGACUGCCAUAGGAUGAGUCAUGGCCACCUUGUUCAAAGUGCGGACUGCUGCAAAUCUCAGCACAGGUUUGGAAGAACUCAAAAAGAGCUGGAGAACAGUGAUUGCUGGAGUCAGUUCUCGGCUUGUCACUCCACUAAGCUCUGUAAUAGCUCUAGCAGCCUCAAAAAUCACCAUCUCAGCCUU
This 209-nucleotide unclassified non-coding RNA is filed under the name Hevea brasiliensis (rubber tree). Lineage: Eukaryota; Viridiplantae; Streptophyta; Magnoliopsida; Malpighiales; Euphorbiaceae. The record is from RNAcentral.